UCAACAGCCCCAGCUCUGGGUCCUUUAAAUUCAGUCCUUCUCUUAGGCUUCCAAACGGGCCUUGUCACCUUCUCAGGGUUUACACCACUUUGCAUGUGGGGGAACCUGGACCUGCCCACUGCUCCAGGUUCCAACCCAGGGACCCUAUAAACAGCAGUCAGUCACCUACUGCUCACAUCAAUUCUCUACUGCUACUUCCCUGGGUCUCUUCCCACCUGGCCCCUUUAUCUUCACCCCUUAGCUCAGGGUUACAGUUCUCAGAUCCCCUCUCUGCCAGCUUAAGUAAUUGCAGCCAAAGCCAAACUUUGGUUAGUCCCUGAGCUCCUGUGAGGGAGGGAGAGGAACCCAGUCCCAGCUGCUCCUUUUAGCUAAGACUGCUGGUCUCUGAUGGGCUGCUUCCACAAAGGCCUCUCUAGGAAGUCCUGGAAGACCCAACUUCCUUUCCUGGGGAGGGUUUAGUAGGACUGCAGGACCUUUAGCAGGAGGCCAGGUACACCCAUCACAGCAUACUUCUCUUUUGUAAGACCAAAGCUGCAAACACACCUUAGGAGAGGCAUUUGCACUAGAUAUCGACCAGAAGUCCUUUACAAAGCGCACUGCACCGUGGUCAAGGAAGCACAGCCAGCUUUUGGUUAAUCUCUGGUGCAAGGCCAGCAAAACAAUUGAUUUUAGUAAGAGUAGCAGGCAUGACCAUGCAUAUCAGCAAAUAGCAAAGAAGCUAGUGGUGUUUGAAAUGUAGCAGCCUGGUGACCAGUGCAGGAAACGGAUUAAGAGGCUCAAGACCGAGUACUGGACAACCAGUGACCACCACCACACCUCUAGCAGCUCGCCAACAUCGUGCUUAUUUUAUGAUGAGUUCGACUGAGUGCUGGGGACUGCACCAAGCAUGAAGCCACCAGUGGUGCAUGAUGACCUGGUCAGCUAGGCUGAUGCCCGGCAGACCCAAGAAGACAGCAUGGAAAUCGAUGGGAGCCAGCAGCAGGUGCCAAAUGAGGCAAAUGAAGUGACUUUGCUGAUGAAACUGGUCCUAGAGGAGGCUUUGCCACAGGAGCAGCUGCAGCACAUCCUGGGGCCAUACUUGGAGGAGCUUUUUGAUGCCCCUUCCCCCUGGGGAACAGCCCACCACGGAACCGGCAGUGGAGACAUAAUAGGAAGAAGCCAUCCCAGAGCCUGCUUGGAAUGACAUCUCUCUUUGCCAAUCCGGCACCACAAGAACGGAUGUGGCCUCCAAAAUCUGCAAUGCCUGAAAUAAGAGAGAAGGAUUCUGUAGCACAACGCAGCCACCAACUUCCCCACAAACUCCAUUUCUGG
Dermochelys coriacea (leatherback sea turtle) is the source of this 1311-nucleotide long non-coding RNA. RefSeq lists it as uncharacterized. The record is from RefSeq and is a predicted model, not a curated record. NCBI's taxonomy places the organism in Eukaryota, Metazoa, Chordata, Testudines, Dermochelyidae. The transcript has 3 exons.